UCCCUGAUAGCUCAGUGGUAAAGAAUCUGCCUCCAAUGCAGGAGACCUGGGUUCAAUCCCUGGUCUGGGAA
Dama dama (fallow deer) is the source of this 71-nucleotide non-coding RNA. The record is from the annotation of a RefSeq genome assembly. Lineage: Eukaryota; Metazoa; Chordata; Mammalia; Artiodactyla; Cervidae.